AAAAAUCAUAGUGAAUCACAAUGAUUCUAUCAUAUCCACCGUGAUACCAAACAUAGGUUUAAUAUAAAAUAUUGUCAAGUGUGCUAUCGUAGUGCUAUCGUACUGUUGUGUUACGGAACUUGAACAAGCUGCUAUUUUCGGUGAUUUGCGAUUGACAACAUUGACUUGAAUAUAUUAAAGGAAAAUGAAACAAUUAGGAAGAUAAUAAUAUUCAAACAUGACAACGACCUCUGUAUAGCCAAAUCUGUGCUUUGCAAAUUCUCAGACUCCUCAUUUCCAUAUUUGUUUCUUUCAAGUUUCUAGCUGUAUGUUUCUGAUUCAGAUAUGUAUGUUAUUUGUCAAAUUUUCCUGGUUAAAGAAUCUUCUAGUUUGAUCGAAAAAGAUGAACGGUGUAUAAAAUUUGAAAGUUUAUAAAGGAUUUUUGUUAGAGUAAGAUAAUUAUAACUGGGGCAUUACAUAAUAAUCAACUUAUUACUUUGAGCGUAACCAUUUUGGAUAGUUGUUGCAUUAUGUUGAGUUCUGACGGUUCUUGGUUGGUUCUGUUUGCUUCUUUUAAGGUUAUCUUUUCGUCAUUUCAUGAAUGCCAUAGGUUAAUUUUCUCAUGAAAAAAAUGGACGAUGCUUUGCUAUGUAGGUUUUGCCACGCGAGCUUGAACUCGGCAGGAAAUGGGUCGUGGAGUCAGCAGUGGUGGCGGUCAGAGUUCCUUGGGUUAUCUCUUCGGUACUGGAGAGACUACCAACAACAAUGUUCAACGUGCAAAUAAUCAAGGCGAACCUUUAAGU
This 782-nucleotide long non-coding RNA is filed under the name Trifolium pratense (red clover). RNAcentral's name for it is "long non-coding RNA (TPRA_LNC006930)". Lineage: Eukaryota; Viridiplantae; Streptophyta; Magnoliopsida; Fabales; Fabaceae. The record is from RNAcentral.